GACGAACGCUGGCGGCGUGCUUAACACAUGCAAGUCGAACGGAAAGGCACUGCUUUUGUGGGGUGCUCGAGUGGCGAACGGGUGAGUAACACGUGAGUAACCUGCCCUUGACUUUGGGAUAACUUCAGGAAACUGGGGCUAAUACCGGAUAGGAGCCCCUGCUGCAUGGUGGGGGUUGGAAAGUUUCGGCGGUUGGGGAUGGACUCGCGGCUUAUCAGCUUGUUGGUGGGGUAGUGGCUUACCCAGGCUUUGACGGGUAGCCGGCCUGAGAGGGUGACCGGCCACAAUGGGACUGAGGUACGGCCCAGACUGCAACGGUAGGCAGCAGUGGGGAAUAUUGCACAAUGGGCGGGAGCCUGAUGAAGCAGCGCCGCGGGCGGGAUGACGGCCUUCGGGUUGUAAACCGCUGUCGCCUGUGACGAAGCGGGAGUGACGGUAAUGGGUAAAGAAGCACCGGCUAACUACGUG
This 468-nucleotide ribosomal RNA is filed under the name uncultured bacterium. RNAcentral's name for it is "partial 16S ribosomal RNA". It matches the Rfam family "Bacterial small subunit ribosomal RNA", at positions 28 to 507 of the family's 1533-position model. The record is from RNAcentral.